This 2901-nucleotide ribosomal RNA is filed under the name Salmonella enterica subsp. enterica serovar Daytona. RNAcentral describes it as "23S ribosomal RNA". It matches the Rfam family "Bacterial large subunit ribosomal RNA". Lineage: Bacteria; Pseudomonadati; Pseudomonadota; Gammaproteobacteria; Enterobacterales; Enterobacteriaceae. The record is from RNAcentral.
UUAAGCGACUAAGCGUACACGGUGGAUGCCCUGGCAGUCAGAGGCGAUGAAGGGCGUGCUAAUCUGCGAUAAGCGCCGGUAAGGUGAUAUGAACCGUUAUAACCGGCGAUACCCGAAUGGGGAAACCCAGUGUGAUUCGUCACACUAUCAUUAACUGAAUCCAUAGGUUAAUGAGGCGAACCGGGGGAACUGAAACAUCUAAGUACCCCGAGGAAAAGAAAUCAACCGAGAUUCCCCCAGUAGCGGCGAGCGAACGGGGAGGAGCCCAGAGCCUGAAUCAGCAUGUGUGUUAGUGGAAGCGUCUGGAAAGGCGCGCGAUACAGGGUGACAGCCCCGUACACAAAAGCGCAUGUGCUGUGAGCUCGAUGAGUAGGGCGGGACACGUGGUAUCCUGUCUGAAUAUGGGGGGGACCAUCCUCCAAGGCUAAAUACUCCUGACUGACCGAUAGUGAACCAGUACCGUGAGGGAAAGGCGAAAAGAACCCGGCGAGGGGAGUGAAAAAGAACCUGAAACCGUGUACGUACAAGCAGUGGGAGCACCCUUCGGGGUGUGACUGCGUACCUUUUGUAUAAUGGGUCAGCGACUUAUAUUCUGUAGCAAGGUUAACCGUAUAGGGGAGCCGGAGGGAAACGAGUCUUAAUUGGGCGUUAAGUUGCAGGGUAUAGACCCGAAACCCGGUGAUCUAGCCAUGGGCAGGUUGAAGGUUGGGUAACACUAACUGGAGGACCGAACCGACUAAUGUUGAAAAAUUAGCGGAUGACCUGUGGCUGGGGGUGAAAGGCCAAUCAAACCGGGAGAUAGCUGGUUCUCCCCGAAAGCUAUUUAGGUAGCGCCUCGUGAAUUCAUCUCCGGGGGUAGAGCACUGUUUCGGCUAGGGGGCCAUCCCGGCUUACCAACCCGAUGCAAACUGCGAAUACCGGAGAAUGUUAUCACGGGAGACACACGGCGGGUGCUAACGUCCGUCGUGAAGAGGGAAACAACCCAGACCGCCAGCUAAGGUCCCAAAGUCAUGGUUAAGUGGGAAACGAUGUGGGAAGGCCAGACAGCCAGGAUGUUGGCUUAGAAGCAGCCAUCAUUUAAAGAAAGCGUAAUAGCUCACUGGUCGAGUCGGCCUGCGCGGAAGAUGUAACGGGGCUAAACCAUGCACCGAAGCUGCGGCAGCGACACUCAGGUGUUGUUGGGUAGGGGAGCGUUCUGUAAGCCUGUGAAGGUGUGUCGUGAGGCAUGCUGGAGGUAUCAGAAGUGCGAAUGCUGACAUAAGUAACGAUAAAGCGGGUGAAAGCCCGCUCGCCGGAAGACCAAGGGUUCCUGUCCAACGUUAAUCGGGGCAGGGUGAGUCGACCCUAAGGCGAGGCCGAAAGGCGUAGUCGAUGGGAAACGGGUUAAUAUUCCCGUACUUGGUGUUACUGCGAAGGGGGGACGGAGAAGGCUAUGUUGGCCGGGCGACGGUUGUCCCGGUUUAAGCGUGUAGGUGUGUGUUCCAGGUAAAUCCGGUUCACUUUAACACUGAGGCGUGAUGACGAGGCACUACGGUGCUGAAGCAACAAAUGCCCUGCUUCCAGGAAAAGCCUCUAAGCAUCAGGUAACAUCAAAUCGUACCCCAAACCGACACAGGUGGUCAGGUAGAGAAUACCAAGGCGCUUGAGAGAACUCGGGUGAAGGAACUAGGCAAAAUGGUGCCGUAACUUCGGGAGAAGGCACGCUGACACGUAGGUGAAGUGAUUUACUCAUGGAGCUGAAGUCAGUCGAAGAUACCAGCUGGCUGCAACUGUUUAUUAAAAACACAGCACUGGUGCAAACACGAAAGUGGACGUAUACGGUGUGACGCCUGCCCGGUGCCGGAAGGUUAAUUGAUGGGGUCAGCGCAAGCGAAGCUCCUGAUCGAAGCCCCGGUAAACGGCGGCCGUAACUAUAACGGUCCUAAGGUAGCGAAAUUCCUUGUCGGGUAAGUUCCGACCUGCACGAAUGGCGUAAUGAUGGCCAGGCUGUCUCCACCCGAGACUCAGUGAAAUUGAACUCGCUGUGAAGAUGCAGUGUACCCGCGGCAAGACGGAAAGACCCCGUGAACCUUUACUAUAGCUUGACACUGAACAUUGAGCCUUGAUGUGUAGGAUAGGUGGGAGGCUUUGAAGCGUGGACGCCAGUCUGCGUGGAGCCGACCUUGAAAUACCACCCUUUAAUGUUUGAUGUUCUAACGUGGACCCGUGAUCCGGGUUGCGGACAGUGUCUGGUGGGUAGUUUGACUGGGGCGGUCUCCUCCUAAAGAGUAACGGAGGAGCACGAAGGUUGGCUAAUCCUGGUCGGACAUCAGGAGGUUAGUGCAAUGGCAUAAGCCAGCUUGACUGCGAGCGUGACGGCGCGAGCAGGUGCGAAAGCAGGUCAUAGUGAUCCGGUGGUUCUGAAUGGAAGGGCCAUCGCUCAACGGAUAAAAGGUACUCCGGGGAUAACAGGCUGAUACCGCCCAAGAGUUCAUAUCGACGGCGGUGUUUGGCACCUCGAUGUCGGCUCAUCACAUCCUGGGGCUGAAGUAGGUCCCAAGGGUAUGGCUGUUCGCCAUUUAAAGUGGUACGCGAGCUGGGUUUAGAACGUCGUGAGACAGUUCGGUCCCUAUCUGCCGUGGGCGCUGGAGAACUGAGGGGGGCUGCUCCUAGUACGAGAGGACCGGAGUGGACGCAUCACUGGUGUUCGGGUUGUCAUGCCAAUGGCACUGCCCGGUAGCUAAAUGCGGAAGAGAUAAGUGCUGAAAGCAUCUAAGCACGAAACUUGCCCCGAGAUGAGUUCUCCCUGAGACUUAGAGUCUCCUGAAGGAACGUUGAAGACGACGACGUUGAUAGGCCGGGUGUGUAAGCGCAGCGAUGCGUUGAGCUAACCGGUACUAAUGAACCGUGAGGCUUAACCUU